Molecule: long non-coding RNA, 1524 nt
Organism: Nomascus leucogenys (northern white-cheeked gibbon)
Lineage: Eukaryota; Metazoa; Chordata; Mammalia; Primates; Hylobatidae
Exons: 3
Source: RefSeq, a predicted model, not a curated record
GGGGGUUGGUGAAGCUGCAAGGCACCAGGCCUGAGGCCUUGGGGUCUCCACACAGGUGGCCUCCGGGAGAGCCUUGGAAUAAGCUGGUCUGCUCCCGGGUCUUCCUGGCAGGCAGUGACCUCCCAACUGCAGGCCCAAGGGCUUCCCAGGGGAGCCAGGCCUGGAACGGGGCUCCUCUUUCCACCCUCUGUGGCUGGUCCCUGCCUCGCCCAACUCCCUGGGAGGCCUGCUUUGUGGAUGCUGCAUUUCCCAGGGCAAAGCUCCGUUCCGCCACACCUCCCUGCCUUUGUACAGGCUGUUCCCACUGCCCUUCCUGCAUUCUUCAUCCAGCCUGUUCUAGAAACUGUCCUUCAAAACUCAGCUCAAGCACAUCUCCUGUGGGAAGCCUGCCCCGGAGCUCUCCUAAGCUGCAGCUGUCCAUUCUGUGAGCUCCCACAGUCUCUAAACUGCUCCUGUUGAGUGACUCACCCGGCUAUGAGUGCCGAACCUGUAGAGCGGGGGGUCCAGGAGAUGGGAAGCCGCCCUGGCGGGGGUGGGGUGGUGGUGGCAAGAGUCAGCCUUGGGCGGUGGGACAGGCAUCUGAGUGGCCCUGGUCUCUGGCCCUCCCUCCAGGGCAAGGCCUUGCUGGUCUCUAAGGCCCCACCCACCACGUUCCUUCUCUGUCCUAUGCCCCAGCCUUUGGUCUGCUCUUCUGCACCCCGGGACAGGGUUGGGGGCCAGAGGAGCCUCGAGUGCAGGGUCACCCCUUGCUCUUGCAGGCUGCUGGGCAUGACCCUCCUGCCAUAGGAACUCGCCUGCAGAAGCUGUGGCCUACUCCCCUGUGUCCCCAGCAUUGCCCUGCCCAGGGUCGGCCCUGGAGCAGGAAGGAGCUGUCCUCAUUGCUGACUGACCCCUGGCCUGGCGCUGGACAACUCGUGGGCUGCUCAGCCCCAGAAUAACACACGUAUGACCCUGAUAAUAAGAUGUGGCCUUCCACCUUGACCUGUGGCCCCUGCUCCACGACAGCCAAUCAUCAUCAGUGCUUACUUGGGGCAAAACACUGCACUUGACAUCCAGUUUCUUGCUGAUGAUCUGCAAGUAUGUAUCUACAGGCCAGACCUUUCCUGUGAACCUCCAGACCCCCACAUCUGCUGCCUCCAACAUCUCCACGUGAAGUCCACCAGGCAGCUGAGACUUCCCAUGUCCCACGUUGAGCGUGAGCUGCUCCUCUCACAGCCUUCCCCCUCUUAGAACAUAGUAGCCCCAUUCUUCCUGUUGCUCUGAUCUUGGAGUCCACCUUGACGCUCUCCUUUGUCUCAUACUUCAUAUCUGUCCAUCAACAAAUCUUGUUGGCUCCACCCUCAAAAUACACCUAGAAUCUAACCACUUCUCCCACCUCCAGCAUCACCACCCUGGCCUGAGCCACCCUCCCUGAUCUCUCAGCUUCUGCCCUUGCUCCUUGAUCUCCACCCAGCAGCCAGAGUGACUUUUGCAAAGUACUGAUCAGAUCAUAUAACUCCACCCACUUAAAACCCUUCUCCAGAU